Molecule: long non-coding RNA, 978 nt
Filed under: Nicotiana benthamiana
Lineage: Eukaryota; Viridiplantae; Streptophyta; Magnoliopsida; Solanales; Solanaceae
Description: long non-coding RNA (NBEN_LNC034727)
Source: RNAcentral
CUUUGUUUAACUUGUUGGCAGGAUUGUCUCUCCUUGCUGGACAGUAUGCCAUUAAAAUCUCCUGCAAUGAUCCAGGGAUCAGUAAUACUAGCAGAUAGGUUGAGAAUAGAUUUCCACAGAAUCCUUGACUGUCUCUCCUUGCUGGACAAUAUGGCAUUAAAAUCACCUGCAAUGAUUCAGGGAUCAGUAAUACCAGCAGAUAGGUUGAGAAUAGAUUUCCACAGAAUCCUUCUCUGAUCACUCUCAUUUAAACCAUAUACAACUGUAAGACAGCAGAUAGUAGCACCAGUGAUAGUUUGAACAUUACAAUGGAUGAGCUGAGCUUCCUCAAGAAAUCCAGUGAUCAACACCUUUGUAGGGUCCCAUAGGAUCCAUAUUCUACCAUUCACUGCUCCACUGUAGUUAGUAAUCAUGUUCCAGUUAGGCAACAAAAAACNNNNNNNNNNNNNNNNNNNNNNNNNNNNNNNNNNNNNAGAUAUUCUACCAGCAUUGUGUUGUUUAACCUUAGUCUCUACAAGUCCUACAAGGUCAAACUUAUUAGUUCUAAAGAAAUUUUUGGCUUCUUUUUGUUUGUACCUUUUAUUUACACCCCUAAUAUUCCAAAAGAUCCACUUUAUUGAGUAUGGCUAGUUCCCCCCUCAUCCAGGGAAUGAUCAGCCCAACUAACUGUCCCAACUUCAAUUCUAUUAGACAUCACAAUAGGAGAUAAGGGAGGGAAAUUAGUGAUGUUAAAGACUGGGGAAUCUUGUCUAACAACCUUCUUCUGUUUGUUCUCACCUUCAGCUGUAGCUAGAGUACUUAUCUCCUUUGGUAACUUUGGUUGCUGGAUUUGAGCCAUCUGGUUGCUUUGGUCCACUGUGACUGGGGCUUUCUCUAUCCAUUCUUGUGUCACCUUGUUUUUCUGUGUAGGUUGAGCAGAUUUAGACAAACAAUUGUGUCCAACCUCCAAACAUUUCUCACAAUACACAGGUUUCCAAU